This 229-nucleotide ribosomal RNA is filed under the name uncultured bacterium. Its description in RNAcentral is "partial 16S ribosomal RNA". It matches the Rfam family "Bacterial small subunit ribosomal RNA", at positions 568 to 796 of the family's 1533-position model. The record is from RNAcentral.
CAUGUAGGCGGCUUGCCAAGUCUGAUGUGAAAGCCCGGGGCUCAACCCCGGAAGUGCAUUGGAAACUGGCAAACUUGAGUACGGGAGAGGAAAGUGGAAUUUCGAGUGUAGGGGUGAAAUCCGUAGAUAUUCGAAGGAACACCAGUGGCGAAGGCGGCUUUCUGGACCGAUACUGACGCUGAGAUGCGAAAGCGUGGGGAGCAAACAGGAUUAGAUACCCUGGUAGUCC